Molecule: ribosomal RNA, 45 nt
Filed under: Coffea bridsoniae
Lineage: Eukaryota; Viridiplantae; Streptophyta; Magnoliopsida; Gentianales; Rubiaceae
Description: partial 26S ribosomal RNA
Source: RNAcentral
UACCCACUGAGUUUAAGCAUAUCAAUAAGCGGAGGAAAAGAAACU